This 457-nucleotide long non-coding RNA is filed under the name Nicotiana benthamiana. Its description in RNAcentral is "long non-coding RNA (NBEN_LNC025623)". The record is from RNAcentral. Lineage: Eukaryota; Viridiplantae; Streptophyta; Magnoliopsida; Solanales; Solanaceae.
GGUACUGAGCCUAGGUUUUUGAGGAGACAACUUGUUGAUGUGGUGGGCGCAAUGUUGCAAGUAGCCGAGGCGGAGAGUUUAGAAGAGGGGACGAGGCAUUUGGCGAUUGAGUUUGUGAUUACGUUGGCUGAGGCGAGGGAACGAGCACCUGGAAUGAUGAGGAAAUUGCCGCAGUUUAUUAGUAGGUUGUUCGCUAUUUUGAUGAAGAUGUUACUCGAUAUCGAGGAUGACCCCGUCUGGCAAGAGUUUAGAAGAGGGGACAAGGCAUUUGGCGAUUGAGUUUGUGAUUACGUUGGCUGAGGCGAGGGAACGAGCACCUGGAAUGAUGAGGAAAUUGCCGCAGUUUAUUAGUAGGUUGUUUGCUAUUUUGAUGAAGAUGUUACUCGAUAUCGAGGAUGACCCCGUCUGGCAUAGUGCUGAAGUUGAGCAUGAGGAUGCAGGUGAGACGAGUAAUUAC